RNAcentral lists this ribosomal RNA (306 nucleotides) under Amoebophrya sp. RNAcentral's name for it is "SSU rRNA". It matches the Rfam family "Eukaryotic small subunit ribosomal RNA", at positions 595 to 906 of the family's 1831-position model. The record is from RNAcentral. Lineage: Eukaryota; Dinophyceae; Syndiniales; Amoebophryaceae.
UAGCGUAUAUUAAAGUUGUUGCGGUAAAAAAGCUCGUAGUUGGAUUUCUGUCAAGGGCGACCGGUCCGUACCAAGUGCGCGCAUCUGGUUCGACCUCGGCAUCCUCUCGGAAGACGUUUCUGCGCUUGAUUGCGUGGAGCGGAGUUCGGGACUUUUACUUUGAGGAAAUUAGAGUGUUCACGGCAGGCUAACGCCAGAAUACAUUAGCAUGGAAUAAUACUAUAGGAUCUUGAUUCUAUUUUGUUGGUUUCUAGGAUUAAGAUAAUGAUUAAUAGGGACAAUUGGGGGCAUUCGUAUCAACACGUC